RNAcentral lists this unclassified non-coding RNA (304 nucleotides) under Hevea brasiliensis (rubber tree). Lineage: Eukaryota; Viridiplantae; Streptophyta; Magnoliopsida; Malpighiales; Euphorbiaceae. The record is from RNAcentral.
GUGUAUGAGGAUCGCCCCCCAGUCUGCCACAUGAUCAUCGCAAAAAAUCAAAACUAAAUAUAAUUUAUUAACCAAAAUGAAAGCAGACUACACUGUCAACUCGUUGGGAAAAAGCACAAACGUCUACAACAAAACAACGGAGGGAAGGGGACAGAAUUAUUCCAAAUUAAGUUGUAAUAUUGGUUUCCUGCAAUACCCAAAAGCUCAUCUCUACUAAACCAAAAAGCAGAAUCGAAUAAGUUUUACAUUCCCAAACGCAAUCAAUAAAUAAAAAAGUUUAGAUUCCCAUAUUUUUUAACACUUU